This 468-nucleotide ribosomal RNA is filed under the name uncultured bacterium. Its description in RNAcentral is "partial 16S ribosomal RNA". It matches the Rfam family "Bacterial small subunit ribosomal RNA", at positions 27 to 507 of the family's 1533-position model. The record is from RNAcentral.
GGGGGGGGGGGGGGGGGGGCGGGGGAGGGGGGGGUCGAGCGGAAGGGCCGGGCUUUGGUGGGGUGCUCGGGUGGCGAACGGGUGGGUAACCCGUGAGUGACCUGCCCUUGACUUUGGGAUAACUUCAGGGAACUGGGGCUAAUACCGGCUAGGAGCUCCUGCUGCAUGGUGGGGGUUGGAAAGUUUCGGCGGUUGGGGAUGGACUCGCGGCUUAUCAGCUUGUUGGUGGGGUAGUGGCUUGCCAAGGCUUUGACGGGUAGCCGGCCUGAGAGGGUGACCGGCCACAUUGGGACUGAGAUACGGCCCAGACUCCUACGGGAGGCAGCAGUGGGGAAUAUUGCACAAUGGGCGGAAGCCUGAUGCAGCAACGCCGCGUGCGGGAUGACGGCCUUCGGGUUGUAAACCGCUUUCGCCUGUGACGAAGCGUGAGUGACGGUAAUGGGUAAAGAAGCACCGGCUAACUACGUG